RNAcentral lists this unclassified non-coding RNA (1024 nucleotides) under Hevea brasiliensis (rubber tree). Lineage: Eukaryota; Viridiplantae; Streptophyta; Magnoliopsida; Malpighiales; Euphorbiaceae. The record is from RNAcentral.
AAAAUUUAUUGUAGCAUAACAUGCCUGUCACAUACCGUUAUAGUGACAAUCAAAUCAGGAAAUGCGAUUGUGCAGAGAUGAGCAUGAAGUCGAUUCUCAAGAUUUGGAGUAGUGUAUUUUAAUAUGAUGCACGGCUGUGAUUAAGCUGUCCUUGCAGGAUGUUACCUAAGAUCCUGAUUUUCUCAGUCAUUGAGAAAAAUUAAGGCUACCCAUCCUAAUUCAUGCUGCCUGCUUUUUGUAUCACAACGUGCAUUACAGCUUUAUUCCCCAGCCAAAUAUUCAGGCUAUGCUUUCUUCCAAUAUUUAUAUUUUUUGCUAGGUAGAUUCAUGGCUACUAUCUGUUCUAUGCAUAUACUUGCAGUUGCAGGUGGCAGUUUUUUCAUUUACUUUCAUUUAGCUUCUCUCUGCUAAUCAGUGUUAGCCGGGAGAAAGGUGAAAUCAAAUUCUUCUUCUUUUGUUGCUUGCAAGGAGAGUUACCCUUGUAGAACUUCUCGUCACUUGUCAUUUGAUUUUUAAACAGUUACAUUUCUUUUUGUUAUUGAUGUUUUAGUAUCUUAUCAUUUUUGCUGCCAUCGGCUGAAUCACUUUUCUCAACAGUGUCGUUUGAUCCUGAAACACUUUGUUCUCCAUUUGCUAUUCAAUAUUAACUGUCAGAUCAUUGCUAUUACUCAUUUUGUUCACCAAUAUCAUUCGAUUCUAAUUUUCCAAGACACUUCUAAACCAGUCACCCACCGAAGAAGAACAUUACCAUAUGAAUUCUAAACUUCCUACCAAAAGAAAAGAAAAAGAAACUCCCUUUACAGUUGGUGUCAAUUUUUUCUGUUACUAGAUCUGGAUUUGGUUUUUAUUUUAGCAACACAGAUCCAAGAACAAUUUAUUUCUGCUAAGUAUUUUUCUUUGUAUUUCAUUUUUCACUUCUGUCCUACUGUCCCCUUUUGAUCUCCAAAGAGUUGAAACCUUUGAGGGUCUUUCAAUUUCCCAUCUAAUUCUUGAAAUCACUAUAGUUUAAUUUUUCUUUGUUAUU